GAGUCUGUGGCCUAAUUGGUAAGGCAACGGCCUUUUAAGCCGUGGAUUGUGGGUUCGAUUCCCACCAGACUCA
RNAcentral lists this transfer RNA (73 nucleotides) under Blastocatellia bacterium. RNAcentral's name for it is "tRNA-Lys". It matches the Rfam family "tRNA". Rfam says of the family: Transfer RNA (tRNA) molecules are approximately 80 nucleotides in length. Their secondary structure includes four short double-helical elements and three loops (D, anti-codon, and T loops). Lineage: Bacteria; Pseudomonadati; Acidobacteriota; Blastocatellia. The record is from RNAcentral.